CACACAAGUAAAAUUCAUUUCUUUUUUGGUCAUUUGAAACCGUUGCAUAUUUGCGGACAAUUUGAGAUUUCGCUAUAUAAACCAUUUACGUUAGUGUCAAUACACUUAAUAGUUUAACAAACGCAUAAUCGGUUGACAAGUUGUGACAAAAAACAUUUUAAGACAAGAAAAAAGGGCAAAUAUUCAAAAUUGUCUUUCACGGGAAUUUACAACAAAUCGGGACACAAGACUCUGAUACAGAUGUCAUUAACUAUUACAGCAGUGGUACUUAAGCGCAGUGCGUCACCUUGCUAUAUAUUCCACUGAAUUCCACUUAAGUAGGGGCUAUUGGAGGAGUGAGGAGACCUGCAUAUUUCAUUACCCCUGAUGAACAAACUCAAUCCACCCUAGCCUGCUGUUAUGUACUUCGGUUACAUUUUAUGCUACUAAAUAACCUUCUUAUAGAGUUCAUCAAAAGAUACAAGGACAUGAUCCCAUUCUAUCAAGCUGACAUGGCGCAUAGAUGAGUAUUAUUGCAGGCAGAACCAUCAUAUAAUCAUUUCACAUCCUGGUUUAUGCAGUCAUAAAAUAACUCGUGCAAAUAAAAGG
This is a long non-coding RNA of Mercenaria mercenaria, 588 nucleotides long. RefSeq lists it as uncharacterized. The record is from RefSeq and is a predicted model, not a curated record. The transcript has 3 exons. Lineage: Eukaryota; Metazoa; Mollusca; Bivalvia; Venerida; Veneridae.